RNAcentral lists this long non-coding RNA (516 nucleotides) under Mytilus galloprovincialis (Mediterranean mussel). The record is from RNAcentral. Lineage: Eukaryota; Metazoa; Mollusca; Bivalvia; Mytilida; Mytilidae.
AAGACGCAAUCUUUUUAUGGCUAUAAUAUGAGUAUGUAGCACUAUUUCAUAUCUAAGUGCAGUAUUUAUCAAUCAGUGUUAGUACGACAGAAAAGAAGAGGUAUUGUAUACAAGUAUUCUUUCAAAUUUAAGAAAUGGUAGAUGAUUUAUUUUAAAUGAUUAAAUUUUGCUGUGGGGGCCUCGGUGGCAGAGUGGUUACUACUGUAAUCACUAGCUAUUCAACACUGAGGUCAAACCUGCUUCUUGUGGGUGCACUAGACUCCAAUCUUAAUUGACUUUAGGGUUGCCAGUUUCAUUAUCAAAGGUCAGUGGUUUUCUCCUGGCACUCCGGCUUCCUCCACCAAUAAAAACUGGUCACCACGAAAUAUCCCAAAAGUGGUGUAAAAACUCCAACAAUCGAUCAAUCAAUCAAUGUUUCUGUGCAUUUUUUUUGUCUAGUGCUGAAACAUUUAGAAAGACAAUUGACAAAAUUAAUUGAUUUCUGAUUUUUAAUUUCAUAUCACCCACAUGUUACUA